Cricetulus griseus (Chinese hamster) is the source of this 1691-nucleotide non-coding RNA. NCBI's taxonomy places the organism in Eukaryota, Metazoa, Chordata, Mammalia, Rodentia, Cricetidae. The record is from RefSeq and is a predicted model, not a curated record.
UUGAGGUGGAGGAGAAACCUAAACGAGAUAAAUUGCCUACCUAACAGCAUUACAAAAGAUGCUUGAGGAAUACCAAAGGAUAUAAAAAGCCCAAACCCUAACACUGCAAAGGAACUAAAUGCUGGCUUCUAUACCUCUGAAUCUUGUCCUUAAAGUGCUUAAUAAAGUAAAAUAUUUUCUAUUCUUUUCUGGGUACCAGGGGAGAAAAUUGCACAUACUGCAGAAGUAUCAGGUGAAGCCAAUGAUAAAUCAACUAGGAUAUUGCUUAUCAUGCUUUAAUAUCAGCAAUAAUAAGACACAGUGUGAGGCAUGACUUAAGCAUCAUUAUGGGCUUUCAUCAAGCCGAGAUUUUUCCUAAGACAUUUUGGGUCUGCUUCCUGGUCCAUGAACACGUGCUUGGUGUGCAGGUGCUAAAUGCUUCUUAGCAACUCACACAGGAAGUCAGCUGGGGAACUGAAUGCCCGAUGGAGGUGAGCAACCACAAGGUUGCACCCAGUGUGUCAUGUGAUCUCGAGAGAGAGCAAGAUUCACAUCAAACAUUGGGUCUACUUGUGAGCAGAGCUGAGACCUGGGUGAUAAUUGUAGGAGUUUACUGGGCCAGCAACAAGGGGGAAUCUUCCAGCAGGAGGUAGAUGGAGAGAGAAAUAAACCUGAAAAAAAAUAGGUAAAUGCUUCAAGGAACAAAAGGGCCCUAACCAAAAAAAAGGUCAGAGAUUUUCUUUAAGCCAUUCCUACUCAUGUGCAUACUUUGUAACUGACAAUCACCAAAAGUAUGAUGUGACUUGUGGGUCCCAUGGUAGCCAUUGCUGUACCUCUUACUUCUUACUUCUGUUGGUACCAGCAGCUCCUAGUUCUCACCUCCUGCCUUCAAUCUUGAUUUGUACUUGCUGACUCCCAUUGGUUUCCCUAUUCCUACCUCCAUGCUGCUUGCUGAUCAAGUGUGAGCCUCUCUAACUUGAUCUCCCCAAUUUUUGUCCCUUGAACACAGGAUACCCUACCUUUAUAUCGUCGGUUCCAGAGUCUGAAUCCCCAUUAGUGAGAGGAGAAGGGUGGCAGGCCUGGAAGCUGCAACCUGCAGAACGUGUGAGCAUGCGCAAGAAGGGGAUUCAAUAACAGAGUGCCAUGUUGCUGCUGUCUAGGAGCUUUGUGGACAUAUCUGAUGGACUAAAGACCGAAGUCCCCACAGAGAAGAGGCGAUAAUGGGAAACCUACAGAAAGAAGUGUCCACAAGUGAGGAACAACCAUGACAGGGGGUCCAGAGGAAGGAAGACUGAGACUGUAGUAGAUGGAAAGAAAACCCAUAGAACAGCUGAACUGAAGAUUUCCAAACUGAGGAGAUAUUUUUAUGGGGUGGCCUCUCCUAAUCUCUCAGGCUCCCAAAAUAGAACCAGGUCUUGUCCGCAUCGUGGGGCAAGCUUAAUGAUGAUCACAGAUGUCGUGUCCAUGUGUAUAAAAUUUGUCUUCUGCCUUGUUAUAAAAUGUAUAUUACAUAAAAUCUAAUUUUUGCUAUCCUGAGAGUCUAUUUCAAAGGCACAAAGUACAUUUUCAUCCCUGUGUAACUAUCCCCACCCCAUCUAUCUGCAGAUCUUCUCAGAUUAAGUCACUAACUACCUGUGCUCCUCUCUGCAGCCACUGGAAACUAUCGUCCUGCUUUCUGUCUCUAAGAAUUUGCCUUCUCUGGGUUCUGCAUC